RNAcentral lists this transfer RNA (74 nucleotides) under Algisphaera agarilytica. It matches the Rfam family "tRNA". From Rfam's summary of the family: Transfer RNA (tRNA) molecules are approximately 80 nucleotides in length. Their secondary structure includes four short double-helical elements and three loops (D, anti-codon, and T loops). Further hydrogen bonds mediate the characteristic L-shaped molecular structure. tRNAs have two regions of fundamental functional importance: the anti-codon, which is responsible for specific mRNA codon recognition, and the 3' end, to which the tRNAs corresponding amino acid is attached (by aminoacyl-tRNA synthetases). tRNAs cope with the degeneracy of the genetic code in two manners: having more than one tRNA (with a specific anti-codon) for a particular amino acid; and 'wobble' base-pairing, i.e. permitting non-standard base-pairing at the 3rd anti-codon position. Lineage: Bacteria; Pseudomonadati; Planctomycetota; Phycisphaerae; Phycisphaerales; Phycisphaeraceae. RNAcentral also lists the same sequence under 1 other name. The record is from Rfam by way of RNAcentral.
GGACUCGUAGCUCAAUUGGAUAGAGCAGCGGUUUACGGAGCCGCAGGUUGCAGGUUCGAGCCCUGCCGAGUUCA